RNAcentral lists this ribosomal RNA (397 nucleotides) under uncultured bacterium. Its description in RNAcentral is "partial 16S ribosomal RNA". It matches the Rfam family "Bacterial small subunit ribosomal RNA", at positions 523 to 918 of the family's 1533-position model. The record is from RNAcentral.
AUACGUAGGGGGCGAGCGUUGUCCGGAAUGAUUGGGCGUAAAGGGCGCGUAGGCGGCCUGUUAAGUCUGGAGUGAAAGUCCUGUUUUCAAGAUGGGAAUUGCUUUGGAUACUGAUGGGCUUGAGUGCAGGAGAGGUUAUCGGAAUUCCCGGUAUAGCGGUGAAAUGCGUAGAGAUCGGGAGGAACACCAGUGGCGAAGGCGGGUAACUGGACUGCAACGGACGCUGAGGCGCGAAAGUGUGGGGAGCAAACAGGAUUAGAUACCCUGGUAGUCCACACUGUAAACGAUGAAUGCUAGGUGUAAGAGGUAUCGACCCCUUUUGUGCCGGAGUCAACACAAUAAGCAUUCCGCCUGGGGAGUACGGCCGCAAGGUUGAAACUCAAAGGAAUUGACGGGG